Molecule: ribosomal RNA, 253 nt
Filed under: uncultured bacterium
Lineage: Bacteria
Description: partial 16S ribosomal RNA
Rfam family: Bacterial small subunit ribosomal RNA
Source: RNAcentral
UACGGGGGGGGCAAGCGUUGUUCGGAAUUACUGGGCGUAAAGGGCUCGUAGGCGGCCAACUAAGUCGGAUGUGAAAUCCCCAGGCUUAACUUGGGAACUGCAUCCGAUACUGGAUGGCUUGAAUCCGGGAGAGGGAUGCGGAAUUCCAGGUGUAGCGGUGAAAUGCGUAGAUAUCUGGAGGAACACCGGUGGCGAAGGCGGGUCUCUGGGCCGGAACUGACGCUAAGGAGCGAAAGCGUGGGGAGCGAACAGG